UGCACCUCAUGCACUUGUCAGUCGCACUGUGAGAGGAUGCACACCGCACGGAGUUGCUCACUUUAUUUUUGCAGCGCAAAAUUUGCGCCAUUUUGGUGCGGGAUAGACUUGAACGAAAAGCGGACUUGAACAGUUUUGGGACUGUAUUGACCGAAAAGAGAAAGAGGAGCAGGAGUAGUGUGGAAAGGAAAAUGCUAACGUCAUCGCCCCCGAAGUUGGCUUUUGAUGCGAGAAGGCCGCCGGCGCGGAGGAGGAGCUCGUCCGUCAGCCCGCGGAUGGAAACACGGGUGGGUGGUUGCAAGGCUGGAUGAAUGCGUGUAGACGACUGAACUCGGAGACCCCGGUGCAGCUCAUCAUCAUUGCCACGGGCUCUCGUUCGCUCCUCCUGUGGCCCGAACCUCCAUCCUCGGGUCCAGCUCAAGCUAGUGAGUGGGCAGGGAAGGAUGGAGAAGGUCCCCGAAGGCUAAAAGCACCUCUGCGGGAGGAAUCAAUACCGAGCAUGCUUUCCUCCGAGUAGGGUUUCCUCUACCUCGGGGGCCCGCCGGCCUCCAAAGGACAGACCCUGUGUGGCCCCUCUCAGCUGGACCGGACCCUGUAUCUCCACUUGGCUGUGUGUGGUUUUGCUGAGGGGGAUCCCUCCCUCCGUUCAUUGAUUCCAAUACAGUGAAUGCUGAAACACAGCCAAACUGGAUCGUUUUUUUUUUUUUCCUUCAUCUUUUUUUCUUGCAACCAAUUGACAACCUCCCCGCCUUCAAUCAAAACCACUCUGGGACUUUUGACGUCGUUCCAUCUUAAACGAUCUAGUUCUGCAACCAGCUGACGAAAGAAGAGCGACGUGACAUGUGUUUUUCCAAUCCCACAAAAUGGAUUGAACGUUCAAGAAAAGGACUCAGCUUGUGAAUGCAACCCAGGAAAAAGAACUUCGAUUCUUGAUUGUGGACUUACAAAAAUGAAUUCCUGUCACCGGAAUUACACAUGAAAAAUAUGUGUUUAUUUUUUGGAAAUGCACUGCAAAUAAAAUCCAAUUAUGUCUUUUGUGUUUUCACGACAAUUCAAAUUGAAAAGGAACUGAACAUUGUUUCUCUCUCUCUCUCUCUCUCUCUCUCUCUCUCUGAAGAAUUGACAUUAUUUUUUCCAUUAAAACGUGUUAAUAUCCUGUUAGUGUCAGGCCAAUAAAAAUCACAUUGAUUUAAACAUGAUGCUUUGGUGUGUUUGUUGAUUUUUUUUGUGUUUGAAUGUGAUUGAGAAAUCUUUAUUAAUCAAUGACUCACUUGAUACAGUGAAGAAAAUAAGUAUUUGAACACCCAAGUUCUCCCACAGUCUGAAAUUUUCAUCGUAGGUGCAUGACCACUGUGAGAGAGAGAAUCUAAAAAGAAAAAUCCAGAAAUCAAAAUGCAUAAUUUUUUUUUAACAACAAAAACAUUUUUUAAUGUUUAAAACUUAUUAUUACAUUCGAAGUGCUGGAAAACCAUUUAUUAAAAUAUAUAGACGUUUUUUUUUUUUAUUAUACUUAGGAGAAAAAGUGAAAAACAUGUCUUAUAUACAUACAGUAUAUACUGUAUAUACAUACAGUAUAUACGGUAUAUACAUAUAUAAAUAUUUCCAAAGCUAAAACUGAAUAAAUCCAUAAAACACCCCCCAAAAAAAUAUUGGAGUGGGGCGGGGGCGCUACUUUGCGGUUUUUCAUUUAUCUCGGCAGGUUCUGGUCCCCAUUAACUGCGAAAA
Molecule: long non-coding RNA, 1725 nt
Organism: Corythoichthys intestinalis (scribbled pipefish)
Lineage: Eukaryota; Metazoa; Chordata; Actinopteri; Syngnathiformes; Syngnathidae
Exons: 4
Source: RefSeq, a predicted model, not a curated record